RNAcentral lists this ribosomal RNA (520 nucleotides) under uncultured bacterium. Its description in RNAcentral is "bacterial SSU rRNA". It matches the Rfam family "Bacterial small subunit ribosomal RNA", at positions 9 to 519 of the family's 1533-position model. The record is from RNAcentral.
GAGUUUGAUCGUGGCUCAGAACGAACGCUGGCGGCGUGGAUAAGACAUGCAAGUUGAACGCGACAUUCACGGUAGCAAUAUCGUGGAUGUUGAGUAGCGCAAGGGUGCGUAACACGUGAGAAUCUACCAUGAAGUUGGGGAUAAUUCCGGGAAACCGGAACUAAUACCGAAUGUGACCGCAAGGUUAAAGCUGGGGACCGCAAGGCCUGGCGCUUCUUGAUGAGCUCGCGGCCUAUCAGCUAGUUGGCGGGGUAACGGCCCACCAAGGCAAAGACGGGUAGCUGGUCUGAGAGGACGACCAGCCACACUGGAACUGAGACACGGUCCAGACACCUACGGGUGGCAGCAGUCGAGAAUUUUUCUCAAUGGGCGCAAGCCUGAAGGAGCGACGCCGCGUGGGGGAUGAAGGGUUUCGAUCCGUAAACCCCUGUCAUUCGUGAACAAUGGUCAUCGUUGAAUAUUCGGUGGCUUGAUAGUAACGGAAGAGGAAGGGACGGCUAACUCUGUGCCAGCAGCCGCC